Molecule: ribosomal RNA, 466 nt
Filed under: uncultured bacterium
Lineage: Bacteria
Description: partial 16S ribosomal RNA
Rfam family: Bacterial small subunit ribosomal RNA
Source: RNAcentral
GAUGAACGCUGGCGGCGUGCUUAACACAUGCAAGUCGAACGGAAAGGCCACAGCUUGCUGUGGUACUCGAGUGGCGAACGGGUGAGUAACACGUGGGUGAUCUGCCCUGUACUUCGGGAUAAGCUUGGGAAACUGGGUCUAAUACCGGAUAGGAAUCACAUGUGGGUGUGUGGUUGGAAAGCUUUUGCGGUAUGGGAUGAGCUCGCGGCCUAUCAGCGUGUUGGUGGGGUAAUGGCCUACCAAGGCGUCGACGGGUAGCCGGCCUGAGAGGGUGUACGGCCACAUUGGGACUGAGAUACGGCCCAGACUCCUACGGGAGGCAGCAGUGGGGAAUAUUGCACAAUGGGCGCAAGCCUGAUGCAGCGACGCCGCGUGGGGGAUGACGGCCUUCGGGUUGUAAACUCCUUUCGUCAGGGACGAAGCGAAAGUGACGGUACCUGGAUAAGAAGCACCGGCUAACUACGUG